GGAAAAAUCCCAGAAAAAAAUAAAAACCCCAAACCCCAGGACAAGCGGAGCCACCACAGCCCCAAUGGAACCUCCCCAAUUCUCUAUUUACAAAAUCCACCCGGAAUUUUCUUGGCAUAUUCCCAAAAAUCCUCAGCCAGCGCUGCCAAAGGGUCGGGGCCCACCCAGAGCCCCCAAUUUGGGAUCCGACCCCUUCCCAAUGGGGUUCCCUGCCCGGAUCCCAAAUUCCCUGCCCAGAUCCCAAAUUCCCUAUGCAAAUCCCAAUUUCUCUAUCAAAAUCCCAAAUUCCCUGCCCAGAUCCCAAUUUCCCUGACCAAAUCCCAGUUUCUCUACUCAAAUCCCAAUUUUUCUAUCCAAAUCCCAAUUUCCCUAUGCAAAUCCCAAUUUCCCUGCCCAAAUCUCAAUUUCCCUGCUCAAAUCCCAAUUUCCCUAUGUAGAUCCCAAUUUCCCUAUGCAAAUCCCAAUUUCCCAGUCCAGAUCCCAAAUUCCCUAUGUAAAUCCCAAUUUCUCUGCCCAAAUCUCAAUUUCUCAAUCCAGAUCCCAAUUUUUCUAUCCAAAUCCCAAUUUCUUUAUGCAGAUCCCAAUUUCCCUGACAAAAUCCCGGUUUCUCUACUCAAAUCCCAAUUUUUCUAUAAAAAUCCCAAUUUCCCUGCUCAGAUCCCAAUUUCUCUAUCAAAAUCCCAAUUUCUCUGUUCAAAUCUCAAUUUCUCAAUCCAGAUCCCAAUUUUUCUAUCCAAAUCCCAAUUUCCCAGCUCAUAUCCCAAUUUCUCAAUCCAGAUCCCAAUUUCUCUGCUCAAAUCCCAAUUUCUUUAUGCAAAUCCCAAUUUCCCUGACCAAAUCCCAAUUUCCCAGCCCAAAUCCCAAUUUCCCUGCCCGGAUCCCAAUUUCCCUAUGCAAAUCCCAAUUUUUCUAUCCAAAUCCCAAUUUCUCUGCUCAAAUCCCAAUUUCCCUGCCCAGAUCCCAAAUUCCCAGUCCAGAUCCCAAUUUCUCUAUCAAAAUCCCAAUUUCUCUGCCCAAAUCCCAAUUUCUCAAUCCAGAUCCCAAUUUUUCUAUCCAAAUCCCAAUUUCCCUAUGCAGAUCCCAAAUUCCCAACUUAUAUCCCAAUUUCCCAGCCCAAAUCCCAAUUUCCCAUCUCAUUUCUCCCAAUCUCUCCGGGUGGGAUUUUUCCAAACCCACAGCGAUCCCAACACCUCUGCGCUGGCACUGGCUAAAAAAAACAUCAAAAAAAAUAAAAUUAUUUCUACAAAAAAAAAAUAAAAAAAAAACCAAAAAAACAAAAACCUCCUCAAGGCUGUGGGGAGCAGUGAGCACCACAAACCCCCAGGAUUCCUGCCUAAAAUUCAAGCUUCCAUGGAUUUUUUAUCUAUUUAAAAUUCCCUAGGGUCAGGGCAUGUCACAGAACCUAAUUAGCAUCUUCCUCCCAUCCUCCAAUCUCACUUGGAUUCUGCCUAUAUUUGUAUUUUUUCUAGUUUUUUUUUGUUAAAUAUAUAUAUAUAUAUACACAUUUUUUUUUCUUACAAAAAUAAAUUUAGGCUUUUUUUUUAAUAAUAUUUUUUU
Molecule: long non-coding RNA, 1557 nt
Organism: Zonotrichia albicollis (white-throated sparrow)
Lineage: Eukaryota; Metazoa; Chordata; Aves; Passeriformes; Passerellidae
Source: Ensembl